AGUAGCUGCUUAGACGGUUUGAAACAUGGAGAAAUAAGCUCUUUCUGGUACGUAUUUCUCACAUGUUCCACGACUGCAUCACAUGAAGCUGACUG
This 95-nucleotide microRNA precursor is filed under the name Schistosoma japonicum. RNAcentral describes it as "microRNA sja-mir-3498 precursor". Lineage: Eukaryota; Metazoa; Platyhelminthes; Trematoda; Strigeidida; Schistosomatidae. The record is from miRBase by way of RNAcentral.